This 449-nucleotide ribosomal RNA is filed under the name uncultured bacterium. Its description in RNAcentral is "partial 16S ribosomal RNA". It matches the Rfam family "Bacterial small subunit ribosomal RNA", at positions 29 to 523 of the family's 1533-position model. The record is from RNAcentral.
AACGAACGCUGGCGGCAGGCCUAACACAUGCAAGUCGAACGCCCUAGCAAUAGGGAGUGGCAGACGGGUGAGUAACACGUGGGAACGUGCCCUUCGGUUCGGAAUAACUCAGGGAAACUUGAGCUGAUACCGGAUAAGUGCGAGAGCAGAAAGAUUUAUCGCCGAAGGAUCGGCCCGCGUCCGAUUAGCUAGUUGGUGAGGUAAUGGCUCACCAAGGCGACGAUCGGUAGCUGGUCUGAGAGGAUGACCAGCCACACUGGAACUGAGACACGGCCCAGACUCCUACGGGAGGCAGCAGUGGGGAAUAUUGGACAAUGGGCGCAAGCCUGAUCCAGCCAUGCCGCGUGAGUGAUGAAGGCCCUAGGGUUGUAAAGCUCUUUCGCCAGGGACGAUAAUGACGGUACCUGGAUAAGAAGCCCCGGCUAACUUCGUGCCAGCCGCCGCUGUAA